This 1433-nucleotide long non-coding RNA is filed under the name Oryza brachyantha (malo sina). Its description in RNAcentral is "long non-coding RNA (OBRA_LNC001138)". The record is from RNAcentral. Lineage: Eukaryota; Viridiplantae; Streptophyta; Magnoliopsida; Poales; Poaceae.
GGAUCAACAUUAUAUUGUCCUGUGUUAGAGAAUGCUUUAAUUAGAGGAACAAGUAGUCCAUAUUAAUUGCACGCACUUAAUUAUCAACUCCACUAAUGGCAACAAAUUAUUGCAUCUAUGGUCGCGGCUACUUAAAAAACGUUACAGGGGACGCUGUUAUAUGUGUUUUUGGAUCAUUUAAAACCGACCUAUAUGUUGAUUUUUCUGCUCUCCCCAAACCCAAAAUUAAAAAGCGGCACAUAUAAGUUGCUAUGUAUGCCGGUUCUUAGUAAAAAAGGCACAUAAGAGGCCGGCCCAACAUAGAGACUACGUAAAAAACUGGCAUAAAAGUCGCACGGAUAGAGGCCUAUCCUAAGAGCAUCCUAAUAAUUUUUUUAUCCCAUCAUCUAUCCUAAAAAUAUAUGUUGAAGGGUAAAAUUAGUGUUCCAACAGAACAUCUAUUUCAUCCUCUAUUUUAGAUGUCCUCUAUAUCAGGAGAGAGAAUAUAUAUAUUUAGAUAUUCUCUAUCCAUCAUCUAAAACUCAAUUGUCCCCACUUUGGCCACUAUGAGUCUAUGUAACAUAAAACAAAUGCAUGGUAGUUACAUGUAUCAAUAAAAAUAAUAGACUAGAAUAUAGAUGCUAUAAUAUGGAUGAUCUGUUAGAGCACACAUAUAUAUAGAGGAUAAAAUUAUUUUAGAUGAUCAUCCAAACUAAGAUAUAGAGACCAAAUUUAGAUGAGCUGUUGGGGAUACUCUAACACCCUACCCUCUCCUCCCUUCUCCAACUACCACCGACACCUAUCUCUUCUCUACCUACCUCCACCUAUCCUGUCAAGUGUCAACGAUGAGGAUGCAUCACUAUUACAGAUACUCUAAAACAGUAUAGGAAUUCUAAUAGUCUGAUGAAAUAGUUGGAGAGAGUAUAAUAGACUUUUUCAUUAAACUACUGCCAAUCAUGUAUUUGAAAAGUGAAUCCAAGUAACUAAGAAUUCAAAAUUUGGUCGGUAAAGGGACUAAGACAACCAUUUUACUUACCGGUUUUGUUAAAUAACCUAAAGUUAUUUAUAUUUGGAACUGAACGAGUAUAACGGUACAUAAGCAAAAGUUGUAAGACGUGACAUAGAUUUUGCAACAUGGCGAUAUUACGAAGGUAUGGAAGCCAUUUUCUAACAUUCGGUGCGCAUUCCCUGGUGAUGAUAUGCUAAAUGUUUAGGUGGACAGAGAGAGAGAGUAGAUGUAAUGAAGUAAUUUGCACCUUGAUUUUUCAGUCUGUCUUCCUUGCCCUUUGUCUCUACUCUGGUGCUCUUGUCGCCUCCCCGUUUUCUUGGUUGUGCUUGAUCCACUUCGCUGGUUAUAUAGUGGUGGUGGCGUUGAUGAUUGGAUAACCACAAUUAGGCUGAUUUUUAAAAGAAAAAUAAAUGAGGACGUCAGGUAAGCAAGCAUUUGAUUUUUC